UUUCGGGAGUUUGGCAAAGCCAGGGGAGCUGGAGGGGAGGUGUGGAGCCAGGGCCCUCCUGGCUGCUGCGGAAUAUCAGGUUCAGCCGCGGCAGAGGAUCGGCAAUGGGAUGAAGGGCCUCUGCAGCCAAUCCCAUCCUGAGCCCACACAACUCCUUGUGUGUGUGGUGGAUUUGGGACAGUGGGUCUCAGAGGGUUGAGGUUAAGGGGACCUCAGCUUACCCUGCAGAGGCCCCUGCCCAUGAUGUGGUCUUCCCCAGGCCCGAGAGCUGUCAUGCCUGGAUGUGCAUCUGGACAGCACAGGGAGCACCGCUGUGGUUGCAGAUCAGGACAAGCUGGAGCUGGAGCUGGUGCUGAAGGGGUCCUAUGAGGACACACAGACAUCCUUCCUGGGCACAGCCUCUGCCUUCCGCUUCCACUACAUGGCAGCCCUAGAGACAGAGCUGAGCGGGCGCCUGAGGAGCUCCAGAAGCAAUGGCUGGAAUGGGGACAACUCAGCUGGGUACCUCACUGUGCCCCUGAGGCCCUUGACCAUUGGGAAGGAGGUGACUAUGGAUGUUCCUGCUCCAAAUGUACCCGUUGUGGGCAU
This 588-nucleotide long non-coding RNA is filed under the name Homo sapiens (human). Its description in RNAcentral is "non-protein coding lnc-PLA2G4E-1:1". The record is from RNAcentral. Lineage: Eukaryota; Metazoa; Chordata; Mammalia; Primates; Hominidae.